Molecule: ribosomal RNA, 317 nt
Filed under: uncultured eukaryote
Lineage: Eukaryota
Description: partial 18S ribosomal RNA
Rfam family: Eukaryotic small subunit ribosomal RNA
Source: RNAcentral
UCCUUAGAUGUUCUGGGCCGCACGCGCGCUACACUGAUCGGUGCAACAAGCAUCCGUCCUUGGCCGACAGGCCCGGGCAAUCUUUGAACGCCGGUCGUGAUGGGGAUAGACCUUUGCAAUUUUUGGUCUUCAACGAGGAAUUCCUAGUAAACGCAAGUCAUCAACUUGCAUUGAUUACGUCCCUGCCCUUUGUACACACCGCCCGUCGCACCUACCGAUUGAAUGGUCCGGUGAAACCUCCGGAUUGGCGCGUGCCCUCGGGCGCCGCCGAGAAGUUGGUUAAACCUUACCAUUUAGAGGAAGGUGAAGUCGUAACA